CUCAGGUGGUCUCUAACAUGUCAGGUGGUCUCUAACAGGUCAGGUGGUCUCUUACAGGUCAGGUGGUCUCUAACAGGUCAGGUGGUCUCUAACAGGUCAGGUGGCCGCUAACAUGUCAGGUGGUCUCUCAGGUGGUCUCUAACAUAUCAGGUGGUCUCUUACAGGUCAGGUGG
This is a long non-coding RNA of Austrofundulus limnaeus, 173 nucleotides long. RefSeq lists it as uncharacterized. The record is from RefSeq and is a predicted model, not a curated record. The transcript has 3 exons. Lineage: Eukaryota; Metazoa; Chordata; Actinopteri; Cyprinodontiformes; Rivulidae.